UGUCCUCCCCGCAUGAGAUCUUGUCAGGAUGAUGUGACUCACGCAGAGGGAUGGCGUCCAUUGCAAAGUAAAUCCACAAAAGGAGACGAGGCCAGAAAACGGAGAGAGCAGAUUUGCAUGAAGAUUUGGCAGCGCGCGCGCAAGCUACCUCACAAAAGAUGUUUUUUUGAAACAAACAAAGACAGCUAGUGUGUCCGAGGCCUCUUCUUCAACUGAGGCGCUUGUCACUUUGAGGGGCCAGCGUGGGACAAUCAGUGAUGAUGACGGGGGCACGGACCUGUUGUCAAGAAGCUGAACUCGGCUGUCAUUCAAACCUCUCUGCCCUAUGGCAUGACAAGGAUGGGCCUUAAUCUGCUGGGAGAGAGAGGACGGAUGAGAGAGUGUGAUGGAGUGAAGGGGGGGUAAAAUUAGACAGGAGGAAAUGGGGAGUUCUUGUCGAGGGGCAAGAAGGACAAGUGGUUUUGAACUAUAAUGCUUUCUUAGCCCAGCCAUGAAGUUAUUCUGUGUUCUUUCUUUGUGGGACUGUCAAUGCUUUUCAAUAAGCCUUUAUCAACAUUUAAAAUCAUGCCCUUCAAUUGCCAAAAGCCAUUUCUCAAUAUGCACUCUUGUCUGUUUUUUUUUCUUACAAAGUAGACUGAAAGGCAAUCCAAUUCAAAUCAGACUUUUUUUUUACCCCAAACCUGGGAAAGUUAGACCUAAUGGGCUCUAUUUUCAUUGAUAGUGCACAUGCACUCGGAGGAAAAAUUGGCGCAUCUUGAUUCCCACCUGUUACAUGAGCGAUCAGAUUGGAAGUCAGUCUCCAAAUGCCCACUUCACAGCCGUGAUCUGGCAACAUCCACCCAAGGAGGUCUACUUGCAUGAGCUCCAGCGAUUCUGUUUCUAUUCUGCUUUUGCAAUAUAAAAAGACACACUGAUUUUAAAGAGAAUGCGAUGAGCUGCUUCCUUUAGCCGGGAAGCUGUGCAUCUGUGUUCAUGCUCACAAUGGUGCAAAUGACAUUUCCAUGAUGUCAAUUAAUAUUGAAAAGUUUCUUUCAUGGAGCAAGCCUGAAAAGAGAAAAUGACAGAGCGAACUGAAAAAAAAAAAUGCUCUUUGCGCAUCCAACUUCUGUCCAAGUGCGAGGUAACUUGGACAUUGUUUGCAGCGGCAGGCUGUUGGGCUGGUUCGAAUUUGACUUUUCCAAGAGUGUGUCAAAAACAUGUAUUUUAAAACCCAAGAUUCUGUCAACCCAGACCACCAUCUCUCCUUGAACCAGUUUAUCUUCAGCCCAAUAGAAACACGGCAUUUAUAUUUCCCAAAUGGAGUUUUGUAACUUUGGCGAGGCUGGUGUUCAACAAAGCUUGUCAUAGACAGAUUGCAGUGGUUUAGGUGUGAUGGAAUGUAGUGUUUAAGGGGACAGAGAUGGGAUAAUAGGGACCAAAAUGACAAGUGAAAAGUUAGAAACAUUUUGUGGUGUGAGUUAUAUUUCUGUUUCAUUGACCUAGUUAUAGCAACGGCAAUUGGUUGCAAAUCAAUCAAUAGCCAAUAUCUUAUUUACCACCCCCCCCCAUCCCUCCCACACACACACAUGCACAGACACAUAUUUAUACAGUACAUGAUGCCCAUGGCAGGGCACCCAGCACCAAGCAAACUUGACUGAAUGGGCCAGCAAGGCCCAUUGAGUGAGU
Long non-coding RNA from Hippocampus zosterae (dwarf seahorse), 1665 nucleotides. RefSeq lists it as uncharacterized. The transcript has 2 exons. The record is from RefSeq and is a predicted model, not a curated record. NCBI's taxonomy places the organism in Eukaryota, Metazoa, Chordata, Actinopteri, Syngnathiformes, Syngnathidae.